GGUUCAAGUUCCUCUAUCCCCA
This 22-nucleotide transfer RNA is filed under the name Polystichum tripteron. RNAcentral's name for it is "partial tRNA-Leu". The record is from RNAcentral. Lineage: Eukaryota; Viridiplantae; Streptophyta; Polypodiopsida; Polypodiales; Dryopteridaceae. RNAcentral also lists the same sequence under 1 other name.